ACGGAAGGCAGCAGUGGGGGAUAUUGCACAAUGGGGGAAACCCUGAUGCAGCGACGCCGCGUGAGUGAAGAAGUAUUUCGGUAUGUAAAGCUCUAUCAGCAGGAAAGAUAAUGACGGUACCUGACUAAGAAGCACCGGCUAAAUACGUACCAGCAGCCGCGGUAAUACGUAUGGUGCAAGCGUUAUCCGGAUUUACUGGGUGUAAAGGGAGCGCAGACGGCAUGGCAAGCCAGAUGUGAAAGGCAGGGGCUCAACUCCUGGACUGCAUUUGGAACUGUCAAGCUAGAGUAUCGGAGAGGUAAGUGGAAUUCCUAGUGUAGCGGUGAAAUGCGUAGAUAUUAGGAGGAACACCAGUGGCGAAGGCGGCUUACUGGACGAUAACUGACGUUGAGGCUCGAAAGCGUGGGGAGCAAACAGGAUUAGAUACCCUGGUA
RNAcentral lists this ribosomal RNA (434 nucleotides) under uncultured Lachnospiraceae bacterium. Its description in RNAcentral is "partial 16S ribosomal RNA". It matches the Rfam family "Bacterial small subunit ribosomal RNA", at positions 341 to 792 of the family's 1533-position model. Lineage: Bacteria; Bacillati; Bacillota; Clostridia; Lachnospirales; Lachnospiraceae. The record is from RNAcentral.